AGGACGAACGCUGGCGGCGUGCUUAACACAUGCAAGUCGAGCGGUAAGGCCCUUUCGGGGGUACACGAGCGGCGAACGGGUGAGUAACACGUGGGUGACCUGCCCUUAGCUCUGGGAUAAGCCUGGGAAACUGGGUCUAAUACCGGAUAUGACUCCACGGUGCAUGUCGUGGGGUGGAAAGCCUUGUGCGGCUGAGGAUGGGCCCGCGGCCUAUCAGCUUGUUGGUGGGGUGAUGGCCUACCAAGGCGACGACGGGUA
RNAcentral lists this ribosomal RNA (258 nucleotides) under uncultured bacterium. RNAcentral's name for it is "partial small subunit ribosomal RNA". It matches the Rfam family "Bacterial small subunit ribosomal RNA", at positions 26 to 285 of the family's 1533-position model. The record is from RNAcentral.